RNAcentral lists this transfer RNA (73 nucleotides) under Paramuricea clavata. It matches the Rfam family "tRNA". Rfam says of the family: Transfer RNA (tRNA) molecules are approximately 80 nucleotides in length. Their secondary structure includes four short double-helical elements and three loops (D, anti-codon, and T loops). Lineage: Eukaryota; Metazoa; Cnidaria; Anthozoa; Malacalcyonacea; Plexauridae. The record is from Rfam by way of RNAcentral.
GACCGCGUAGCUCAGUUGGAAGAGCAUUGGGCUAGUAUUCCAAAGGUCGUAGGUUCGAAUCCCACCGUGUCCG